Small nucleolar RNA from Choloepus hoffmanni (Hoffmann's two-fingered sloth), 131 nucleotides. Its record names the gene SNORA72. It matches the Rfam family "Small nucleolar RNA SNORA72". From Rfam's summary of the family: U72 is a member of the H/ACA class of snoRNAs. The snoRNA gene is located in intron 4 of the ribosomal L30 protein gene in human, mouse and chicken. NCBI's taxonomy places the organism in Eukaryota, Metazoa, Chordata, Mammalia, Pilosa, Megalonychidae. The record is from Ensembl.
CUGUGAAUAUUCUUGCUGUCCCAAUUUUGUGAUAAUCAGGGCAGGCCAAACAUCCACAUAUUAAGGUCAUUCAAGUGUCUCCAGACCUUGUACUUUCCUUAGGUCUGGUUUUUAAGAUGCUAGUGAUAUAG